This 4933-nucleotide long non-coding RNA is filed under the name Sus scrofa (pig). RNAcentral describes it as "lncRNA (ENSSSCG00000053718.1)". The record is from RNAcentral. Lineage: Eukaryota; Metazoa; Chordata; Mammalia; Artiodactyla; Suidae.
UGGGGAACCAGUUGUGAAAUGGAUCAGCAAUGAGUACAGCUUGCCUUGUUGUUAUCAUCUUUAAAGUAGAGGUCCAGGAUGGUUAGCAUGAUUAGAUGCACUCUUAGGCUUGGACAGCUAAGCUUAUUUUUUCUCAAAUUUUUUUUUUCUCAAGUUACUGAACUCUUUUUAAUGUCCAACUUUGAGGUCCAAAUAUAAAUUAAUCCUCAUUUUAAAUCCCAUUUCUUUAUAUCAGUAUGGAGCCAUGUGUGUCCAGUAGCCCUAAUAUAUGUUCAUUUAUUCAAUCAGCGAACACUUGUUGAACAACUAUUCCAUGCAGAGUCCUGGUUUGGGUGAAGAAAACAGAUGCAUAAAACAUUAUUCCUUGAGUUUCCGUUGUGGCUCAGUGGUUAACGAAUCCAACUAGGAACCUGAGGUUGCGGGUUUGAUCCCUGGCCUCUCUCAGUGGGUUAACGAUCUGGCGUUGCUGUGAGGUGUGGUGUAGGUCGCAGAUGCAGCUCAGAUCCCAUGUUGCUGUGGCUGUGACGUAGGCCAGCAGCUACAGCUCUGAUUUGGCCCCUAGCCUUGGAACCUCCAUGUGCUAUAGGUGUGGCCCUGAAAAAAAAAAUUCCUGCUCCUGUGAGUUUAUAGUUUGGUAACAAGAGACUAUGGCAUACAUGCAGAAAGAGUGAAGUAAAUAUGAAAGUUACAGUAGUGGCACAAGCAACCCGCUGUGGGAAUACACAGAAAGAUUGACUCAGAGAUGGUGGAAGGUACUAAGAACUUAAGGGAUUUCCCAAAGAGUGGAGUUUCCUGGGCCUGGUAACCAUGUAUAUGAUUUCACCAGGUGUGAAUGUAAUAAGAACACAAAGAGUUGAGAGGUAAGAUGGCUGGAGAGGAGGCUUGCUUUGGAUCUAGUGAGAGGUUGGCUUGGAUGAGUGGGAUUGAAGCAGCGUUAUAAAUACCAGGCAAAGCAAAUGCCUGGGCCCAGCUAUGGAAAGAAGCAGCUGCACAGCCACCUAUUUUUACAGAGCUUUUUUCUCAGCGAGGUUGCCAGAGGGAAGGUCCCGCCUGGAGUGUCUCAGGACACUGCCUCCCUCUGGAACUUGCCCAAAUUCACAUUGCAAAAGGGUGAUUUCUGCAUUAUGUAGAAUCCAAGCUUCUCUUGCUGAAUUUUACAUCUUCACCUCCUCUUCCCUUAUACUUGGGAGAGGUGAAAGACUGCAAAUCUCUCUUCUGCAAGGAAUGUUCCUUAUGUUCCUAAAGAUGGAGCUGUGCCAAUCUAUCUUAAGACCAAAUACCAUGAAGAUGUCCAGGAAUGUCCUGGGACCCACAGAAGACAAUCAGAAGGGACUAUGGAUAGAGCAUGGCAACUGUCAUGGCCAGUCUUGUGAUUGGCUAACAUUGAGGGGUUCACUCAUUCACCAUGUGCCCCCAGAUCAGUGACAAGCAACAGUGUAUGUAAUGCAGUGGUUCCCAAGCAGGGCAUUGCCACUACCCAACCGGGGCAUUUAGUUAGAGAGGCAUUUAGUGAGAGGGGACUAAAGAUGUGAAAUAUCCUGCCAGGUGUUACCCAGUCCCUGAGAUCAAAAAGUUGUUUUAUCUCAUCUAAGAUUUUUGAAUUUAUUACCUGACCUUGAGAAUGGUAGACAGCUAUUAUUAAAAUAAGAUCAUUUAUCAAUCUUAUUAAUCCAAGGCACAACCUACAUCUGCUGUGUUCUUGGGAUAAAUAGUUCUGCAUGGUGUUCCAGGCUGAAGGGCUUAGAUGACAUGAAGGCUUUCUGCACAGGAAGCCUCAGACUGAUGACCACCAGUCCUUUGGAGGCACAACAGGCUGACAGUUGGCUGAACGGAGCCAGUGUUCUCUGCUGAUGUUACAGGAGAUGACAGGGAUAAUGGUGCAGUGACUCCUGAUUGGCCAGCAUGGCUCAGUGUAAGGCCUGGGAUUUACGCUGACAACACAUCCAUCAGCUGUGGCGGGUGUGGGGCAUUUGAAAUGCACCUUCGGGAACUGAUAAUGACCUAACAGAUGACUCCAUCUUAUUGAUCAACAUGGGUACUCCCGAAACACGUGGCCCCUGAUAUCCCUGACACCUGCCUUGAUGAGAUUUACGCUCCUGAGUGGAGAAGGGGCCAGAAAUCAUGUGCCUUUGGAAAUGAUGUAACUGACUGUAGAUCAGCCUUUGGCCCUUCAACAGUUACAAACAGCAAGAGAUUAUCUGAGGCGGCAGAGCUUAGCGGAAUGCCUACUCCACUCGGACCGGCUGGAGUCUUCAUCAGCAGAUGGCUCAUGUGGUUGACAACUAACUUGGUAUGUGAAUCAGUCUAAGUUGUCAUAGACCAUUAUAGAGUAUGGUGAGGUGGUGUGGUAUAAACCCAUGUGUUUAUCAUCUUUCCAUGUCUCUUAGCACCUAGCAAGUGCCUUGCAAAAUAAGUGAGCUGAGGAGAUACCUCACCAAAGACUGUAUGUUUAAGUACUUGAAGGAUGGAUGGGAUUGUCAGUAAAAGCACUUGUGAGUUUUUGAGUGGAGGGAUCAAAAAUAUAUCCACUAUAUCUCAAAUAUGCAAAGGAUGCAGCACAACGUAUUCUAUAACUGCCCUUGUCAUGCUCAUCUCCGGGGCAGAGUGGGGGGAGAGUACUGUAUACUUGCUACUUAAAGAGACGUGAUAAGAUUAAAAUGCCGGAGAGCCACCACCAUGGAGAAUUUCCCUUUGCUGUUGACAUGUGAGCCCACUGUUCAUAUUUGAGAAGAGGGAACAGGCAAAUACUGCAAUGGAGGUUUGCGUCUUUUCCACUUUCUCAUAAUCUAGUUGCCCUCCUGCAUGGAGUCAUAGUUCUCAAUCCAUCAUCGUUAAUUUUAUCAUAAACUUCAGGAGGAAGAGGGGAUACAAUGUCUCUUUCCCCUGAGUGAAACCUCUAGGAGUGGCCACUUCUGACUUCCUUUUUUCUGCUUUUUAGGGCCAUACCUGUAACAUAUGGAAGUUCCCAGGCUAGGGGUCAAAUCAGAGCUACAGCUCUCGGCCUACAUCACAGCCACAGCAAUGCUGGAUCCAAGCCACAUCUGCGACCUCCACCACAGCUCAUGGCAAUGCCAGAUCCUUAACCCACUGAGCAAGGCCAGGGAUCAAACUUGCAUCCUCAUGGAUUCUAGUCAGCUUCAUUAAUUGCUGAGCCACAAGGAACUCCCUGUCUGACUUCUAAGUGGGUUUUAGUUGCUGGGCUUCUCUCUCAGAGGCAGGAUUUGCUGUGGGUAAUAACCGUGUUCUUGAUGCUUACUGCAGAGUAUAUUUCUUUUUUUUUUUUUAAAGGCAAUAAAUCCCUAUUAGUAGUGUUUCUUUUCAAAAAGCACCUGGCUUAUUUUCUUAAUCAAUAGUUUAUGUUCAAUAAUGUUAGGCUUUGCAGAAAGAUUAACUCACUUGGAUGCUGUUAGGUCCACAUGGAGAAUAAAACUUUGACUUAUGAUCCUCUACUAAUUUUUUUCUGAUACAAAACAACAAAAAAACAGGAUAGUUUAAGUACAAAAUUUAUUGAAGUAAAGAAAUUAAAACAAUUUUCUCAUGUAAACCACAAUUUGUCUCACAUGACUACCAGGAGUUGGAAAAACCAUCUAUUACAAAUUCAAACUCUGGAUGAAAGCCCAGUGAUGGAGCUUGUUCACGUCAGUGAAUGCACUCAGAUCCCAAGAAAAUGUCAAGAUGACCAUCUCAGCAGAGGUAUAGAAAGAGAUGACAAGAGAGAGAUAAUAAAUUGCCUUGCAAAUAAAUGAAGACCUUCCUGUUGGACAAUCAUGAGUGACUUUCCUAUCCAGUUAUGCUCUUGAUGUCCAAGAUUCAAAUCACAGAUGCCCCAAAUCUGCCUUUGUGUAAAAGAACCAGGAUUUCCGUUUUUGGCUUCCUGUGUAUUCAUCAGGGUAGGCUUAAUCUGAGCACUCUGCAGUAAUAGGGAAGAGAGGCCACAGGGGCCCCCAUCCCAUCUCCCCAAGCCUUAACCUUUUCGAAAGUUCUUUGUCCUUCCCAGGACUGCCCCCAAGGCCUUCCUGUGCCCUUUCACCAUAGGCUGUGUGUUAUCUUUAGGAACCAUCUUUCAUCAAGAGGAUAAGAAUCAGAUGAAAGGAAACUUCAUCAGGAGGUGGGGGCCAAGCUCCAAGGCUGAAAACGUGGAGGGCUUAUGUACAUUUGGAGAGAGAAGCCAGCUUAUUAACCUUAAAGCAAACUUUGCUGCCCCUCCAAGGACUCUAAGAUAAUGCUGCAAUCCUGGUGCUCCAGUUCCCACUCCCUGAGGAGGGAGUCAGGUCCAAACAGCUCCCUGGGAGGAGGGAUGUAAGACAGGAUUAGCACAACCUUGCACAAAGCAGUGAAGUAAAUGUGUCUUUCUUUCCAUGGCCCUCUGUGGACCCUUCUUCUCCCUCCUGGGAAUAACUAUAUGUUGCUGGAAGAGUUUCUUCUCAAAGUCCCAAUUUAUGCAUCUGUAAAAUGGGAAUAACCAUAGCACUUACCUCUGAAGACUGUAAGGAGGGCUAAAUAGAAAGCAUAGAAAGUUCACAGCACAGAGCCUGCCAUGUGAAAGGCAUUCCAUAGUUGUUAGAUGUUAAUCCCAGCAUAAAUUCCUCACUUGAUAGGGGAGAGAACUGAGGCCCAGAGAGAUGAAGAUUCUUGCUCAAGCUUUAAAGCAUCAGGCUGCAUCUCCUCCCACCACUCUGCCAUCUGAUUUGUCUUCUUGGAUUAAAACAUAAAAAUUAGGAGUUCCCACCAUGGCGCAGCGGAAACAAAUCCAACUAGGAACUAUAGAGUUGUGGGUUCGAUCCAAGGUCUCACUCAGUGGAUUAAGGAUCCGGCGUUGCCUUGAGCUGUGGUGUAGCUUGCAGAUGUGGCUUGGAUCCUGCGUUGCUGUGGCUGUGGUGUAGGCUGGCGGCUGUAUCUCCAAUUAGACCCCUAGCCUGGGAAACUCCACAUG